Molecule: long non-coding RNA, 558 nt
Organism: Ipomoea nil (Japanese morning glory)
Lineage: Eukaryota; Viridiplantae; Streptophyta; Magnoliopsida; Solanales; Convolvulaceae
Exons: 2
Source: RefSeq, a predicted model, not a curated record
UUUCUUCUACGGUCACCGAUAUCGUCUCACGUCUUUCCCCGACCUUUCUCUCUUCCAUUAACUAGCUCUUCGUAACGCCGGCUGCAGGAUGACUUGUGAGACCAAAUUUUCUUCUGAUUGUUUGCCUUAUAAUCCCUUCCACCAUUUUCCUUUCUAUGUUUUCCGCUUCUAAUAUGGUUGAUUUGGAAGAAUUUGUCGAGAGUGACCAGUGCGAGGAAGAGCAGAUUGAGCUCCCAUUUUGCCGAUAUGCCUUUCGAUACUGAUUUUUUUCAAAAUCCCCUGGAUGCUAUGCACCUCCGGAGAGUACAGACAUCCUAUGAGAGGUAACUUGCUGAUAUACUGAGAUGCUGAUGUCUUUAAUUAUUUAAAUGGAUUAGCUUAAAUUAGUGGAAUCGCAUUCAAAACCACAAGAUGUUUUGAUGUUACAGAAAAAGCACCUUUGGUAGCUUUAAUAUUUGCAUAAUGUAGUUUUGUUGUUGUUCAAUUAUUUAGUAAAUUUGUACUACUUUAUUGAUUUGCUUGAAAAUAAUAGAGCUUAUAAUAGAUUUUGAGUUGCUA